RNAcentral lists this ribosomal RNA (520 nucleotides) under uncultured bacterium. RNAcentral's name for it is "bacterial SSU rRNA". It matches the Rfam family "Archaeal small subunit ribosomal RNA", at positions 345 to 866 of the family's 1478-position model. The record is from RNAcentral.
AACCUCCGCAAUGCGAGAAAUCGCGACGGGGGGAUCCCAAGUGCCAUUCUUAACGGGAUGGCUUUUCAUUAGUGUAAAGAGCUUUUGGAAUAAGGGCUGGGCAAGACCGGUGCCAGCCGCCGCGGUAACACCGGCAGCUCUAGUGGUAGCAGUUUUUAUUGGGCCUAAAGCGUCCGUAGCCGGUUUAAUAAGUCUCUGGUGAAAUCCUGUAGCUUAACUGUGGGAAUUGCUGGAGAUACUAUUAGACUUGAGACCGGGAGAGGUUAGAGGUACUCCCAGGGUAGAGGUGAAAUUCUGUAAUCCUGGGAGGACCGCCUGUUGCGAAGGCGUCUAACUGGAACGGUUCUGACGGUGAGGGACGAAAGUUAGGGCGCGAACCGGAUUAGAUACCCGGGUAGUCCUAACUGUAAACGAUGCGGACUUGGUGUUGGGGUGGCUUUGAGCUGCUCCAGUGCCGAAGGGAAGCUGUUAAGUCCGCCGCCUGGGAAGUACGGUCGCAAGACUGAAACUUAAAGGAAGU